ACUCCUACGGGAGGCAGCAGUGGGGAAUAUUGCACAAUGGGCGCAAGCCUGAUGCAGCCAUGCCGCGUGUAUGAAGAAGGCCUUCGGGUUGUAAAGUACUUUCAGCAGUGAGGAAGGUGGGUAUGUUAAUAGCAUACUCAUUUGUACGUUAGCUGCAGAAGAAGCACCGGCUAACUCCGUGCCAGCAGCCGCGGUAAUACGGAGGGCGCGAGCGUUAAUCGGAAUUACUGGGCGUAAAGCGCAUGCAGGUGGUUGUUAAGUCAGAUGUGAAAGCCCGGGGCUCAACCUCGGAAUUGCAUUUGAAACUGGCAAACUAGAGUACUGUAGAGGGGGUUAGAAUUUCAGGUGUAACGGUGAAAUGCGUAGAGAUCUGAAGGAAUACCGGUGGCGAAGCGGCCCCUGGACAGAUACUGACACUCAGAUGCGAAAGCGUGGGAGCAAACGAGGAUUAGAUACCCCGUGGUAGGAUAGCG
This 473-nucleotide ribosomal RNA is filed under the name uncultured bacterium. RNAcentral's name for it is "bacterial SSU rRNA". It matches the Rfam family "Bacterial small subunit ribosomal RNA", at positions 335 to 799 of the family's 1533-position model. The record is from RNAcentral.